GGCGGCUGGCCACUCCACAUAAUGGUCAACCGUACAUGAAAAAAGGAGGAGUAAAAAGCCCCGGCUCGGGCUGCGGCAGUGUGGAGACCUGUCGUAAUGCGGGAGACGUAAGUCCCCGUGAGGGCACAUCAGGCGGAGGCCAUGUGUCCGGAGUCAGAAAGCAUGGC
This 167-nucleotide non-coding RNA is filed under the name bovine gut metagenome. RNAcentral's name for it is "malK-I RNA". It matches the Rfam family "malK-I RNA". The record is from RNAcentral.